This 519-nucleotide ribosomal RNA is filed under the name Wilhelminamyces savonicus. RNAcentral describes it as "eukaryotic LSU rRNA". It matches the Rfam family "Eukaryotic large subunit ribosomal RNA", at positions 38 to 656 of the family's 3401-position model. Lineage: Eukaryota; Fungi; Ascomycota; Pichiomycetes; Serinales; Metschnikowiaceae. The record is from RNAcentral.
GCAUAUCAAUAAGCGGAGGAAAAGAAACCAACCGGGAUUGCCUCAGUAACGGCGAGUGAAGCGGCAAAAGCUCAAAUUUGGAACCGCUUUAUGCGGGUUGUAAUUUGAAGGCGUUUACUGGGACGGGGCGCUGCCUAUGUUCCUUGGAACAGGACGUCACAGAGGGUGAGAAUCCCGUGUGGCGGCGACCCUUGUGCCGUGAAGUGAGCGCCGACGAGUCGAGUUGUUUGGGAAUGCAGCUCUAAGUGGGUGGUAAAUUCCAUCUAAAGCUAAAUACUGGCGAGAGACCGAUAGCGAACAAGUACAGUGAUGGAAAGAUGAAAAGAACUCUGAAGAGAGAGUGAAACAGUACGUGAAAUUGUUGAAAGGGAAGGGCAUGGGGAUAGACUGAGCAAUCGGGAAGCGGUUGCUAGCGGGGCGGGACAAUUGCGCGGGAACGUGGCUUUCGAGUGUUAUAGCCCGCGCAGAUGCCGUCUUGCUGGCAGGUGGUUCCAUAAUGUCCCUAUGCCGCCCGUCUUG